RNAcentral lists this long non-coding RNA (810 nucleotides) under Phasianus colchicus (ring-necked pheasant). Its description in RNAcentral is "lncRNA (ENSPCLG00000020242.1)". Lineage: Eukaryota; Metazoa; Chordata; Aves; Galliformes; Phasianidae. The record is from RNAcentral.
CCCCCCUCACAGCCCCCCCCUUGUGCCCCCCCAGGCCACAGACCCGGUGCUUCCCCUGCUGGCCACCAGCACUGAGGAGGGCCGCAAGGUGCAGCGCAGCGGGGGGGUCACGUACCCAGCUGUGUUCCGCCGCGUGGCCGAGCGAGACGAUGGGUGACGGGGGGACCUUCGUGUCACCCUGGGGACCUCCUGGCACUGGGGGGUCCUCCCGGACACCGCGGGGACAGCGCUGACACCGUGAGGUCCUCCUGUCACCAUGAGGUCAUCGUGGGGUCCUCCUGUCACUGUGAGGACCUCCUGUCACCCUGAAGUCCUCCUGUCGCUUUGGGGACAGCGCUGACACCAUGAGGUCCUCCUGUCACCAUGAGGUCUUCGUGGGGUCCUCCUGUCACCGUGGGGACACUUCUGUCACCCUGAGGUCCUCCUGCCACCAUUGGGACCGUCCUGUUGCUGUGGGGACCUUCCUGUCACCCUGAGGUCCUCCUGUCACCAUGAGGUCACCGUGGGGUCCCCCUGUCACCAUGGGGUCCUCCUGUCACCAUGAACACAGUUUGUCAUUGAGGUCCUCCUGUCACCAUGAACACACUUUGUCAUUGAGGUCCUCCUGUCACCGUGGGUCCUCCUGGACCCCACGGAGGCAGCGCUGACACCCCGAAGUCCUCCUGUCACCAUGAUGUCACCAUGACGUUCUCCUGUCACCCUGCGCUCCUCCAGGACACCACGGGGUCCUGCUGUCACCAGUUGGACCCCCCCCAUUACCCCAUGCUCCCCAUGUUGGUGCCCCCCCCGCCCCCCCCCAAUUUGUCAAUA